CCUACGGGAGGCAGCAGUGGGGAAUAUUGGACAAUGGGCGAAAGCCUGAUCCAGCAAUGCCGCGUGAGUGAUGAAGGCCUUAGGGUUGUAAAGCUCUUUUACCCGGGAUGAUAAUGACAGUACCGGGAGAAUAAGCUCCGGCUAACUCCGUGCCAGCAGCCGCGGUAAUACGGAGGGAGCUAGCGUUGUUCGGAAUUACUGGGCGUAAAGCGUACGUAGGCGGUUAUUCAAGUCAGAGGUGAAAGCCUGGAGCUCAACUCCAGAACUGCCUUUGAAACUAGGUAGCUAGAAUCUUGGAGAGGUUAGUGGAAUUCCGAGUGUAGAGGUGAAAUUCGUAGAUAUUCGGAAGAACACCAGUGGCGAAGGCGACUAACUGGACAAGUAUUGACGCUGAGGUACGAAAGCGUGGGGAGCAAACAGGAUUAGAUACCCUGGUAGUCCACGCCGUAAACGAUGAUAACUAGCUGUUCGGGCUCUACGAGCUUGAGUGGCGCAGCUAACGCAUUAAGUUAUCCGCCUGGGGAGUACGGUCGCAAGAUUAAAACUCAAAGAUAGAGG
RNAcentral lists this ribosomal RNA (558 nucleotides) under uncultured bacterium. RNAcentral's name for it is "bacterial SSU rRNA". It matches the Rfam family "Bacterial small subunit ribosomal RNA", at positions 338 to 913 of the family's 1533-position model. The record is from RNAcentral.